Molecule: ribosomal RNA, 1373 nt
Filed under: uncultured bacterium
Lineage: Bacteria
Description: bacterial SSU rRNA
Rfam family: Bacterial small subunit ribosomal RNA
Source: RNAcentral
GAUGAACGCUGGCGGCGUGCCUAAUACAUGCAAGUCGAGCGAACGGACGAGAAGCUUGCUUCUCUGAUGUUAGCGGCGGACGGGUGAGUAACACGUGGAUAACCUACCUAUAAGACUGGGAUAACUUCGGGAAAGCGGAGCUAAUACCGGAUAAUAUUUUGAACCGCAUGGUUCAAAAGUGAAAGACGGUCUUGCUGUCACUUAUAGAUGGAUCCGCGCUGCAUUAGCUAGUUGGUAAGGUAACGGCUUACCAAGGCAACGAUGCAUAGCCGACCUGAGAGGGUGAUCGGCCACACUGGAACUGAGACACGGUCCAGACUCCUACGGGAGGCAGCAGUAGGGAAUCUUCCGCAAUGGGCGAAAGCCUGACGGAGCAACGCCGCGUGAGUGAUGAAGGUCUUCGGAUCGUAAAACUCUGUUAUUAGGGAAGAACAUAUGUGUAAGUAACUGUGCGCAUCUUGACGGUACCUAAUCAGAAAGCCACGGCUAACUACGUGCCAGCAGCCGCGGUAAUACGUAGGUGGCAAGCGUUAUCCGGAAUUAUUGGGCGUAAAGCGCGCGUAGGCGGUUUUUUAAGUCUGAUGUGAAAGCCCACGGCUCAACCGUGGAGGGUCAUUGGAAACUGGAAAACUUGAGUGCAGAAGAGGAAAGUGGAAUUCCAUGUGUAGCGGUGAAAUGCGCAGAGAUAUGGAGGAACACCAGUGGCGAAGGCGACUUUCUGGUCUGUAACUGACGCUGAUGUGCGAAAGCGUGGGGAUCAAACAGGAUUAGAUACCCUGGUAGUCCACGCCGUAAACGAUGAGUGCUAAGUGUUAGGGGGUUUCCGCCCCUUAGUGCUGCAGCUAACGCAUUAAGCACUCCGCCUGGGGAGUACGACCGCAAGGUUGAAACUCAAAGGAAUUGACGGGGACCCGCACAAGCGGUGGAGCAUGUGGUUUAAUUCGAAGCAACGCGAAGAACCUUACCAAAUCUUGACAUCCUUUGACAACUCUAGAGAUAGAGCCUUCCCCUUCGGGGGGGCAAAGUGACAGGUGGUGCAUGGUUGUCGUCAGCUCGUGUCGUGAGAUGUUGGGUUAAGUCCCGCAACGAGCGCAACCCUUAAGCUUAGUUGCCAUCAUUAAGUUGGGCACUCUAAGUUGACUGCCGGUGACAAACCGGAGGAAGGUGGGGAUGACGUCAAAUCAUCAUGCCCCUUAUGAUUUGGGCUACACACGUGCUACAAUGGACAAUACAAAGGGCAGCGAAACCGCGAGGUCAAGCAAAUCCCAUAAAGUUGUUCUCAGUUCGGAUUGUAGUCUGCAACUCGACUACAUGAAGCUGGAAUCGCUAGUAAUCGUAGAUCAGCAUGCUACGGUGAAUACGUUCCCGGGUCU